RNAcentral lists this ribosomal RNA (255 nucleotides) under uncultured bacterium. Its description in RNAcentral is "partial 16S ribosomal RNA". It matches the Rfam family "Bacterial small subunit ribosomal RNA", at positions 524 to 776 of the family's 1533-position model. The record is from RNAcentral.
UACGUAGGGGGGCAAGCGUUGUCCGGAUUUAUUGGGCGUAAAGAGCGUGUAGGCGGCCAUACAGGUCAGCUGUGAAAACUCGAGGCUCAACCUCGAGACGUCGGUUGAAACCGUAUGGCUAGAGUCCGGAAGAGGAGAGUGGAAUUCCCGGUGUAGCGGUGAAAUGCGCAGAUAUCAGGAGGAACACCAAUAGCGAAGGCAGCUCGCUGGGACGUUACUGACACUGAGGCGCGGAAAGCGUGGGGAGCGAACAGG